Molecule: ribosomal RNA, 822 nt
Filed under: uncultured Nitrospira sp.
Lineage: Bacteria; Pseudomonadati; Nitrospirota; Nitrospiria; Nitrospirales; Nitrospiraceae
Description: bacterial SSU rRNA
Rfam family: Bacterial small subunit ribosomal RNA
Source: RNAcentral
CAAGUCGAGCGAGAAGACGUAGCAAUACGUUUGUAAAGCGGCGAACGGGUGAGGAAUACAUGGGUAACCUACCCUCGAGUGGGGAAUAACUAGCCGAAAGGUUAGCUAAUACCGCAUACGACUCUUGGUCUGCGGAUCGAGAGGGAAAGCGAUACCGUGGGUAUCGCGCUCUUGGAUGGGCUCAUGUCCUAUCAGCUUGUUGGUGAGGUAAUGGCUCACCAAGGCUUCGACGGGUAGCUGGUCUGAGAGGACGAUCAGCCACACUGGCACUGCGACACGGGCCAGACUCCUACGGGAGGCAGCAGUAAGGAAUAUUGCGCAAUGGGCGACAGCCUGACGCAGCGACGCCGCGUGGGGGAUGAAGGUCUUCGGAUUGUAAACCCCUUUCGGCAGGGAAGAUGGAACGGGCAACCGUUCGGACGGUACCUGCAGAAGCAGCCACGGCUAACUUCGUGCCAGCAGCCGCGGUAAUACGAAGGUGGCAAGCGUUGUUCGGAUUUACUGGGCGUACAGGGAGCGUAGGCGGUUGGGUAAGCCCUCCGUGAAAUCUCCGGGCCUAACCCGGAAAGUGCGGAGGGGACUGCUCGGCUAGAGGAUGGGAGAGGAGCGCGGAAUUCCCGGUGUAGCGGUGAAAUGCGUAGAGAUCGGGAGGAAGGCCGGUGGCGAAGGCGGCGCUCUGGAACAUUUCUGACGCUGAGGCUCGAAAGCGUGGGGAGCAAACAGGAUUAGAUACCCUGGUAGUCCACGCCUUAAACGAUGGAUACUAAGUGUCGGCGGGUUACCGCCGGUGCCGCAGCUAACGCAGUAAGUAUCCCGCCUGGG